RNAcentral lists this ribosomal RNA (497 nucleotides) under uncultured bacterium. RNAcentral's name for it is "partial 16S ribosomal RNA". It matches the Rfam family "Bacterial small subunit ribosomal RNA", at positions 28 to 507 of the family's 1533-position model. The record is from RNAcentral.
GAUGAACGCUGGCGGCGUGCCUAAUACAUGCAAGUCGAGCGAACAGACGAUGAGCUUGCUCCGCUGACGUUAGCGGAGGGCGUGUGUGUAACACGUGUAUAACCUACCUGUAAUACUGGUAUAAUUUCGAGAAACCGGAGCUAAUACCGGAUAAUAUAUUGAAGCACAUGGUUCAAUAGUGAGAGUCGGUUGUUCUGGCAGUUAUAGAUGGAUCCGCGCCGCAUUAGAGAGUUGGUAAGUUAACAGCUUACAAAGGCAACGAUGCGUAGCCGACCUGAGAGGGUGGUCGGCCACACUGGAAGUGAGACACGGUCAAGACUCCUAAGGUAGGCAGCAGUAGGGAAUCUUCCGCAGUGGGCGAGAGCAUGACGGAGCAACGCGGAGUGAGUGAUGAAGGUCUUCGGAUCGUAAUACUCUGUUAUUAGGGAAGAACAAAUGUGUAAGUAACUAUGCCCGUCUUGACGGUAACUAAUCAGAAAGCCACGGCUAACUACGUG